UACGUAGGGUGCGAGCGUUGUCCGGAAUUAUUGGGCGUAAAGAGCUCGUAGGCGGUCUGUCGCGUCGAUCGUGAAAACUUGGGGCUUAACCCUGAGCUUGCGGUCGAUACGGGCAUGACUGGAGUUCGGCAGGGGAGACUGGAAUUCCUGGUGUAGCGGUGAAAUGCGCAGAUAUCGGGAGGAACACCUAUGGCGAAGGCAGCUCGCUGGGACGUUACUGACGCUGAGACGCGAAAGCGUGGGGAGCAAACAGG
This 254-nucleotide ribosomal RNA is filed under the name uncultured bacterium. Its description in RNAcentral is "partial 16S ribosomal RNA". It matches the Rfam family "Bacterial small subunit ribosomal RNA", at positions 524 to 776 of the family's 1533-position model. The record is from RNAcentral.